GACGAACGCUGGCGGCGUGCUUAACACAUGCAAGUCGAACGGAAAGGCCCUGCUUGCGGGGUACUCGCGUGGCGAACGGGGGAGUAACACGUGGGUGUUCUGUGCUGCACUUCGGGGUAAGCCUGCGAAAAUGGGUCUAAUACAGGAUAGGAGACAUUUUUCGUGUGGUGGGUGGAAAGUAUUUUCGGUGUAGGAUGAGCUCGCGGGCUGUCAGCUUGCUGGUGGGGUAAUGGCCUACCAAGGCGGCGACGGGUAGGCGGCCUGGGAGGGUGGACGGCCACAAUUGGGCUUGGGAACGGGCCAGACUCCUACGGGGGGCAACAGUGGGGGAUAAUUGACAAUUGGGCGAAGCCUGAAUCAGCCACGGCGCGUUGGGGAAGGCGGCCUUCGGGUUUGUAACCCCUUUCGCUAUGGACGGAACUGUUUGUGACGGUACUUAGUUAAGAAGCACCGGCUAACUACGUG
Molecule: ribosomal RNA, 465 nt
Filed under: uncultured bacterium
Lineage: Bacteria
Description: partial 16S ribosomal RNA
Rfam family: Bacterial small subunit ribosomal RNA
Source: RNAcentral